Molecule: ribosomal RNA, 253 nt
Filed under: uncultured bacterium
Lineage: Bacteria
Description: partial 16S ribosomal RNA
Rfam family: Bacterial small subunit ribosomal RNA
Source: RNAcentral
UACGUAGGGGGCUAGCGUUGUCCGGAAUCAUUGGGCGUAAAGAGCGCGUAGGCGGCUGGAAUAGUCCGGUGUGAAAUCCACAGGCUUAACCUGUGAAUGCCGCUGGAAACUGUCUGGCUAGAGUCCGGAAGGGGCGAGUGGAAUUCCUGGUGUAGCGGUGAAAUGCGCAGAUAUCAGGAGGAACACCUGCGAUGUAGACGGCUUACUGGACCAUAACUGACGCUGAGGCACGAAAGCGUGGGUAGCAAACAGG